GACGAACGCUGGCGGCGUGCUUAACACAUGCAAGUCGAACGGAAAGGCCCUGCUUUUGUGGGGUGCUCGAGUGGCGAACGGGCGAGUAACACGUGAGUAACCUGCCCUUGACUUUGGGAUAACUUCAGGAAACUGGGGCUAAUACCGGAUAGAAGCUCCUGCUGCAUGGUGGGGGUUGGAAAGUUUCGGCGGUUGGGGAUGGACUCGCGGCUUAUCAGCUUGUUGGUGGGGUAGUGGCUUACCAAGGCGUUGACGGGUAGCCGGCCUGAGGGGGUGACCGGCCACAAUGGGACUGAGGUACGGCCCAGACGCCUACGGUAGGCAGCAGUGGGGAGUAUUGUACAAUGGGCGGAAGCCUGAUGCGACAACGCCGCGUGCGGGAUGACGGCCUUCGGGUUGAAAACCGCUUUCGCCUGUGACGAGGCGUGAGUGACGGUAAUGGGUAAAGAAGCACCGGCUAACUACGUG
Molecule: ribosomal RNA, 468 nt
Filed under: uncultured bacterium
Lineage: Bacteria
Description: partial 16S ribosomal RNA
Rfam family: Bacterial small subunit ribosomal RNA
Source: RNAcentral